RNAcentral lists this ribosomal RNA (543 nucleotides) under Bertsa lankana. RNAcentral describes it as "partial small subunit ribosomal RNA". It matches the Rfam family "Bacterial large subunit ribosomal RNA", at positions 1820 to 2620 of the family's 2925-position model. Lineage: Eukaryota; Metazoa; Arthropoda; Insecta; Hemiptera; Miridae. The record is from RNAcentral.
UUUUUUUCAAAACAUGGUUUUUUGUUUAUAUAAAAGAAUCUGGCCUGCCCUAUGAUUUAUUUAAAUGGCUGCAGUAUUUUGACUGUACAAAGGUAGCAUAAUAAUUUGUCUUUUGAUUGAAGGCUGGUAUGAAUGGUUAGAUGAAAAAUUUACUUUCUUUAUUUUAUAUUAAAAAGUUAAUUUUUAAGUUAAAAAGCUUAAAUUUAUUUAUAGGACGAGAAGACCCUAUAGAACUUUACUAUAUAUAUUAUAUAUUUGUUUUAAUUUAUCUUUUAAAUAUAUUUUUAAUUAGUUUUGUUGGGGUGAUAAAAAAAAUAUUAUAACUUUUUUUAUUAAUUACAUUUAUUUAUGUUUAUUUGAUCCUUUUUUAUGGAAAAAAGACUAAGUUACCUUAGGGAUAACAGCGUUAUUCUUUCGGAGAGUUCAUAUCGAUGAAGGAGUUUGCGACCUCGAUGUUGGAUUAAAAUAAGUUUCAGGGGCAAAAUAUUGUUUACUAAGUCUGUUCGACUUUUAAAUUUUUACAUGAUCUAGUUUCCAACCGGG